GCAAACAUUGCCACUUCGGAAUUUCUGAUGGAAAGAAGUUUAUUGAUGUAACAAAAGGACCUGGGAGUCAGCUUAAGCAAGGAAAUCGAGCAGGAUGAGGAAACAGCAAGAAAGUAGUUACCAGAUCAGCCAUCUCACUGAAUGGAGAGACAGACGACUUGUGGUGGUGUAACAGGAGGGUCACCAUACCUCAGGCUAGGGGAGAGGUUGAGAAGGCGGAAUCUUCACGGUGAGCAUGGCUGGUGUAGGAAUCGAAUCCACAGUGUUGGUGUCACUGUAUCACAAACUGACUGUCCAGCCAACUGAACUACAGGCCACCUUAUGGAACGUUAAAUUCACUCAGCACAAAGUGCUGAUUCACACCAUUUAUGUACUUGUUAAGAAAAUAUAUAUCAGGAAUUCAUUACCAAUAUGGACUGACAGGGCAUGUAAUGUCGAGCCAGGAGUGUGGGGCAGGGGACAGUAACUGGUCUGGGGGGCCAGGGAAGCAGUGAGCACAUCGUUCUCAGUGAGAAUAGCAAUCACCACCAUACUUCCUUUUCUUUGUCUUGUGCUAUUCACCCAGAAGCCCACAAAUAAUGACUUUUUGUUAAGCAGAUGGCAUCUCUGAGAAGCAUCUGUUCAUGUUUGGAGGAAUGGAUGGUGAAGACUGGUGGGACAAAUUAAUUACUGACUCAAAAAUCUAAUUAAUCAAGCUAAGGAACUUUUUGGAUAAAUGAUAUUAGGAUAGAAAGAACAUUUUGCAAUUUUGUACAAGACAUCACUGGAGAUUGAACGUGUCAUUAGAAAAACAGAUAGUGUGUUUUUCAAACAGUGGCCUGCAUUGUCCAUGCUGCCUCUCUCCAGGAACAACUUACUGAGGGCCACUCCCUUGCUUUUCUUUAUAACCCUGCAUACCCCCGCCUUUUUUAGAUAAUCAAAUCCCUUUGCAAAGCCUCAAGUGGACCUGCCUUCCCCACAUUCUCAGGAAUUGUAUCUCAAACCCAAAUUACUUGCCGAGGAGGAAAUGUUUCCUGUGUGUUGCUUUUUUUUUGACAAUUGCUUUCAAUCUGUGCUACCUGAUCCUCAACCCUUCCACUAAUGUAAACAGCUAUCCCGGUUUACACUGCCCAGACCCCUUGUGAUUUUGAAUACCUCAAUCAAAUCUAGGAACUUAAUCUGAACAUAGCUCCUGGAUGAUCAAUGCUGUUAUUUGAUGACAUGCCUUGGGCAACUUUACCUUCCAUUUCACCUUCGAAAGUUAUUAUCAUUAAUCAGAAUAAUAAUAAGUUACAGGUCACAUUCUCUUCAUGUCUGAUUGGAUUUCCUCAGGAUGCUCUGGUUUCCCCCUCCAGUUAAAUGAUGUGCAGGUUAGAUGGAUUGGGCAUGGAUUAGAAAGUAUGAUAACUGGCUGUAGCUGAUGGGCAAUCUCACACUGUUGAUCUUUGCUUUAGAAAAUCACUUUGUUAAAUAUGAUCAUUUUCAGAUCAGUACAACUAAUCCAAAAACAAAUCAGGAUCCCACCAGCAUUGUAAUUCUUCAAUAUUUACUGGAGCUCACUCAUCACUGUCUGAAUUAAACGCACCAGGAAAAACAGAAAUUGGAACAACGUGACUACAGUUGCAUUCAUAGAGUAGAAUCCCUACAGUGGGGAGGCAGGCCAUUCAGCCGAUCGAGUCAACACCGGCCCUCCAAAGACAUCCCACCCUGAUCCACCUCACUACCCUAUCUUUGUAACCUUGCAUUUCUUAUGGCUGACCCACCUAACCUGCACAUCCCUGAACACUAUGGGCAAUUUA
Chiloscyllium plagiosum (whitespotted bambooshark) is the source of this 1778-nucleotide non-coding RNA. The record is from RefSeq and is a predicted model, not a curated record. NCBI's taxonomy places the organism in Eukaryota, Metazoa, Chordata, Chondrichthyes, Orectolobiformes, Hemiscylliidae.